Molecule: ribosomal RNA, 759 nt
Filed under: Paraclostridium bifermentans
Lineage: Bacteria; Bacillati; Bacillota; Clostridia; Peptostreptococcales; Peptostreptococcaceae
Description: bacterial SSU rRNA
Rfam family: Bacterial small subunit ribosomal RNA
Source: RNAcentral
UCUCUUCGGAGAGAGCGGCGGACGGGUGAGUAACGCGUGGGUAACCUGCCCUGUACACACGGAUAACAUACCGAAAGGUAUACUAAUACGGGAUAACAUACGAAAGUCACAUGGCUUUUGUAUCAAAGCUCCGGCGGUACAGGAUGGACCCGCGUCUGAUUAGCUAGUUGGUAAGGUAAUGGCUUACCAAGGCAACGAUCAGUAGCCGACCUGAGAGGGUGAUCGGCCACACUGGAACUGAGACACGGUCCAGACUCCUACGGGAGGCAGCAGUGGGGAAUAUUGCACAAUGGGCGAAAGCCUGAUGCAGCAACGCCGCGUGAGCGAUGAAGGCCUUCGGGUCGUAAAGCUCUGUCCUCAAGGAAGAUAAUGACGGUACUUGAGGAGGAAGCCCCGGCUAACUACGUGCCAGCAGCCGCGGUAAUACGUAGGGGGCUAGCGUUAUCCGGAAUUACUGGGCGUAAAGGGUGCGUAGGUGGUUUUUUAAGUCAGAAGUGAAAGGCUACGGCUCAACCGUAGUAAGCUUUUGAAACUAGAGAACUUGAGUGCAGGAGAGGAGAGUAGAAUUCCUAGUGUAGCGGUGAAAUGCGUAGAUAUUAGGAGGAAUACCAGUAGCGAAGGCGGCUCUCUGGACUGUAACUGACACUGAGGCACGAAAGCGUGGGGAGCAAACAGGAUUAGAUACCCUGGUAGUCCACGCCGUAAACGAUGAGUACUAGGUGUCGGGGGUUACCCCCCUCGGUGCCGCAGCUAACGCAU